Molecule: ribosomal RNA, 433 nt
Filed under: uncultured bacterium
Lineage: Bacteria
Description: partial 16S ribosomal RNA
Rfam family: Bacterial small subunit ribosomal RNA
Source: RNAcentral
AACGAACGCUGGCGGCAUGCCUAACACAUGCAAGUCUAACGAGACCUUCGGGUUUAGUGGCGCACGGGUGCGUAACGCGUGGGAACCUGCCCUUAGGUCCGGAAUAACUCCCCGAAAGGGGUGCUAAUACCGGAUAAUGUCUUCGGACCAAAGAUUUAUCGCCUUUGGAUGGGCCCGCGUUGGAUUAGCUAGUUGGUAGGGUAAAAGCCUACCAAGGCUACGAUCCAUAGCUGGUCUGAGAGGAUGAUCAGCCACACUGGGACUGAGACACGGCCCAGACUACUACGGGAGGCAGCAGUGCGGGAUAUUGGACUAUGGGCGGAGACCUGAACCAGCAAUGACGCGUGAGUGAUGAAGGCCUUAGGGUUGUGAAGCUCUUUUAUCCGGGGUGAUAAUGACAGUACCGGGAGAAUAAGCACCGGCUAACUCCGUG